This 179-nucleotide unclassified non-coding RNA is filed under the name fungal sp. RNAcentral describes it as "partial internal transcribed spacer region". The stretch from base 1 to 46 matches the Rfam family "Eukaryotic small subunit ribosomal RNA", at positions 1786 to 1831 of the family's 1831-position model. The record is from RNAcentral. Lineage: Eukaryota; Fungi.
AAGUCGUAACAAGGUUUCCGUAGGUGAACCUGCGGAAGGAUCAUUAUUGAUGAUACCCAUCACAAACCACUGUGAACCAUCGGGAGGGCAACCUCCCCUUCAUACACACACCAAAGUAAUAGUAUAUUGUCAAAUGUAAAAAUUUUGAACAACUUUCAACAACGGAUCUCUUGGCUCUC